CAACAUAUUAUACAUUUUAUCAUCUUCCUAAUAAAGAUCCAGUUGGACUGAGUAACAAGAUUGUUCAAGGAUAUCUUCUCAAGUGGUCAAUGAAGGAAUGUUUACAUGUGCAGUAUUACGCGUUCAAUCAAGAGUUUAUACCAGAUGACAUUGACCAGUUUGCAUUGGAUUUCUUUCGGGACUACAAUGUAGCAAAAAACAUACAAGCAAGUUUUAGCCAAUUUGUCGG
Molecule: long non-coding RNA, 229 nt
Organism: Diuraphis noxia (Russian wheat aphid)
Lineage: Eukaryota; Metazoa; Arthropoda; Insecta; Hemiptera; Aphididae
Source: RefSeq, a predicted model, not a curated record